This 1134-nucleotide long non-coding RNA is filed under the name Rattus norvegicus (Norway rat). RNAcentral describes it as "long non-coding RNA NONRATT013850". The stretch from base 1073 to 1134 matches the Rfam family "mir-378 microRNA precursor family". The record is from RNAcentral. Lineage: Eukaryota; Metazoa; Chordata; Mammalia; Rodentia; Muridae.
ACGCCACGGCCGAGACGUUCUGCUCCGGGAAGACUCCUGGUAGCGACUUCAGGCUGGCGACUAGGACAGGCGUCGUGGCGGGGUGUCGCCGAGAGGAAGCCCGCCACGCGCGGGAGACGGCGGUCCGUAGCUCUAUACAAACGCCGUGGCGUCCGGGAGCCGCGGGGCCGCGUGGUGUGUGGCUGGCGCGCUCGGGUGGGUUCAUACAUAGCAGAGGCCCAAGGGGCUGGUGGCGAGUGGUCGCGCUUCUUCAGGUCGGGAGGGGUUGUUAAUGAGCAUGAGCGGGCUGUGCGCGGGUGUGUGUGUGUGUGUGUGUGUGUGUGUGUGUGUGUGUCCCCUGAGCGUGUGCACACGCCGCGCGCGCCAGGCGCGUACCUUUACCUCUGACGAAACUGCAGUGGAGCUCCCAGCAGCGUCGCUGGGCACGGUCACACGCCCGGUGUUUGUGUCUGCCCACGGCGGGCCUUAGCCUCAGCACCCCGGGAGUGGACAGCGUGGAACCAGGACAGGAGGUGGUAGGGAUAUGGGGGUCCCGGACAAGACUUGCACCCCAGAUCUUGAUUGCUUGGAGUCGUGUCUGUAUCUUUACACUUAAGAACCGAGUAGAACAGGCCCAAAAAUAGCCAGUGAGACUCUUUCACCCAUACCAAGGUUGUCCGCUCUGGAUAGGACCCUCUUUAACUCUAGCUUUGGUGUUUGUCUCACCGCUAAUUGUUUGCCCUUUUAGCCACCAGCCUAUCCUACUCAGUAGGUAGUUUCCUUGCUUCACCCAAGAAAAUUGGGUAAUCAGUUGUCAGCAGAAACAGUGCAGUGAAAGUUAAUUUGGGACGUUUGCUCCCCCCAUCCCCUUUAACUUAAUCACGUGACAGGCCGAAGAUCUCCGGGUGAUCUUUGCCGGGCCAACUUGGGAUAUGUAAUUGAUACCAGGAGCGUUGCAGCCGCCCCUAGAAGGCUCCGAGCUGAGCGGGAAUGGGCGGGGCAGCCCGCCGCCUCAUUUUACAGUUGGGGAAGAGGCUGUGAGGGGUGAGCUGCUUGUCCACGACCACUCAGCCAGGGGGUGACAGAGCCACCCAGGGCUCCUGACUCCAGGUCCUGUGUGUUACCUCGAAAUAGCACUGGACUUGGAGUCAGAAG